UAAUCGGUGAAAGUUCGUCACGGGAGGGGCCAAGCCCCCGUAUAGCUAUGGUACUUGCGCAUAGCGAAAGCGGUGGGUAAAAGCGUAUCGACGGGAGUACCGGUCAGUGACCGGGCGAGCAACCUGCCAGGUUGUAACAAGA
This 142-nucleotide non-coding RNA is filed under the name Paenibacillus sophorae. Lineage: Bacteria; Bacillati; Bacillota; Bacilli; Caryophanales; Paenibacillaceae. The record is from RNAcentral.